Molecule: long non-coding RNA, 1405 nt
Organism: Lactuca sativa (garden lettuce)
Lineage: Eukaryota; Viridiplantae; Streptophyta; Magnoliopsida; Asterales; Asteraceae
Source: RefSeq, a predicted model, not a curated record
AAUGUAUUGCUCGAUACUUAUGUCCGUGUCCCGAGUUUGAUCCUCACACGUUUUUUUUUGGUUCCCGCUUCCUUUUUUUUUGGUCCCGCUUCACACUUCGUUCCCUCAAAUGACUUCCCCAAAAUUGCCGCUUCGUUCUCUCAAAUAUUCGGCUUGGUUUUGCACUUCCGCUUAAUUACGUCGUGCCUCCCAUCUCCCACACCUUCUCGUUUUCUGCCUUCCACUCCAUUCUAGGGUUUGAAGCUGGAGCGUACAAAGCCCUCUGCUCAUCUUCGUGAUCGGCGUUCUCUUUUGCGUCCACCGGUGCUACCAGCAAAACAACCUUCCGCCACUGCUGCCGUUCUUCAGCCCUGCUCCUCCGCCAGCGCCGCUUGAAUCGCUCCCCUUAUGUCGUUACUGAUUAACCAUAAAUGCCAUAGCAGGCUUCAAUCGUUCUGUUCAAUCGAAGCUUCAAUCGCUCCUGUCAUCAUUUUGUUCAGUCAGUAGGCUCAGUCAAAGGUUCAAACCUGCUCAAUCGACGGCUAACCAUGCUCAAUCACCGCCUAAACCUGCUCAAUCGAAAGCAAAGUCAAAACAACUUAAAAUCGUUCUUCGAAUUCAAGUCACAAGUUCUCCAAGUCACAAAUGAAUUCAACAAAAAAUGAGCUAACAGAAAAAUAGCGAUUUCCAGAUUCAGGGUAAGGGAGGUACUUGUUACUUCAAUCGUCAUCCGAGGGAGUAGUCGCCACCAGAGAAUCCACCACCGAUCAACAUCGUUUGUUCUCUGUGUGUCGAGACUCACAGGUGGAUGUAUUUUGGAGUAUUGGAAAUAUGUUGCUGCAUUUCAGCCUUGCAAGUGACCUAUGUGCUCCAGUCCAAUUAUCAAAUUGACCCUAGAAGCAACAUUAUCCCAACAGCAGGAUUCAAGGAUCCAUGAUGUUCUCAAGAAUGUUAGGCAGUACAAUUGCCUUUUUGCUGGUGGUGCUUGCAGUUUCAUUCUGGUAGGUUACUUGACUGUUGGCACCAGACAUUGAAGGGGGUAGUUUCGUCUUUUCCCUAAGUUUUUUCUUCUUGAAGCAAUUCUGAAGAAAUCUGAUGAUUGUGAGUUUCUUGUGACAGCAAGUGCUUUAGUUGCCUUUAUUUGUCAAGAGAUUGCUUCAAGCAAUGGUGGAUCCUGAUAGACCUGUUGCUUAUCUUAGUAGAUUGCUUUAGUUGCAGUUAAGAAAUAGCAACAUUCUUUCAUUUACUUGUUUAUUAUGAUUACAUGCAUUUAGGUGCUAAGUUUUGAAGGAAUUGCUGAAUCUUAUUACUUGUUUGCAAGUGUUUCUUGGUGCUCUUUAUACACUUAGCCCUUUUGACAUCCUCCCAUGAUGUAAGUUAUCUAUUCAAUGUUGUUUAAUACAAAUGUGUGCAAUUUUUACCUUUA